AAGAGUUAACACUAUGGAAUGACUUUGAGGAAGAUGCCCUUGUAAGUUGGUUUGUUUUGUUGUAUUCUCUGUUGGGAGGCGGAGGAAGACUUGGAUCUUAUUCUUUGGAGAUGUGAGUUUGUGAGAUUCGUGUGGAAUCAUUUCUUUCAAACGUUUGGUUUAUUGUUAGCUCAACACAGGGAUACUUUGGUUUGAUCUAGGAACCUCCUCCAUU
RNAcentral lists this unclassified non-coding RNA (214 nucleotides) under Hevea brasiliensis (rubber tree). The record is from RNAcentral. Lineage: Eukaryota; Viridiplantae; Streptophyta; Magnoliopsida; Malpighiales; Euphorbiaceae.